GGUGAGUUUUCGGGCAUUUUUAGUGGGUCGAAUUAGCGAUCAAAGGCGGACAGGGUAUAAUAAUAAUAAUUAAAGCCGCGAGCGGCGUCAUAGGUUCCGAUGUAGCGGCCGGGGGCGGUAACCCACGGUCACGUAUAGCACUGUUUUGGGAAUUGGCCUGAGCAAAUUUGGUGUAAAUUGGUGUAAAAACAACUGAGAUAUUGCAUUUACCAAGAAAUGGCAAAAGAUUUUCCUGUCAUGAUAGGCCCCUCCCACUUUUCACAGCCUGCUCUAUUUGCCAUAGCAAUGUGCUUCCAUCUAAUAAAAUUCAUCCUACAGUGUUUUGAAGUCAACACGACAUAUCGUCUGUCCGCUACAGCUGCUCGUGUAGGACGACCACAGAAGCGGCGCCCUCUGAGAACGCAAGGCAUUAUGGCAAUUUGCUCCCCUCUGUGUAGGUUCAUCCUACAGUGUUUUGAAGUCAACACGACAUAUCGUCUGUCCGCUACAGCUGCUCGUGUAGGACGACCACAGAAGCGGCGCCCUCUGAGAACGCAAGGCAUUGUGGGUAAAUUGGUCAUCGUUUGUUGUUUAGCUCUGGACAGUGAUCGUGUGUAUCAAAUAUGAAGCAGUUUGAACUUUGCAUUCUGGAGUUGCAAGCGUUUUCGUAUAACGGCGUAGUUAUGGCGAGGGAUUUUCCUGUGUCAUGAUAGGCCCCUCCCACUUUUCACAGCCUGCUCUAUUUGCCAUAGCAAUGUGCUUCCAUCUAAUAAGAUUCAUCCUACAGUGUUUUGAAGUCAACACGACAUAUCGUCUGUCCGCUACAGCUGCUCGUGUAGGACGACCACAGAAGCGGCGCCCUCUGAGAACGCAAGGCAUUAUGGGUAAAUUGGUUAUCGUUUGUUGUUUAGCUGUGGACAGUGAUCGUGUGUAUCAAAUAUGAAGCAGUUUGAACUUUGCACUCUAGAGUUAUAAGCGUUUUUGUAUAAUGGCGUAGUUAUGGCGAGGGAUUUUCAUGUGUCAUUAUAGGCCCCUCCCACUGGCCAUGAUGGGUAAUUUGGUCAUCGAGCGUUGUUUAUGGAUGGACAAUCAUCGUGUGUAUCAAAUAUGAAGCAGUUUGAACUUUGCAUUGAAGCGUUAUAAGCAUUUUCCUAUUAUAGCGUGCUGAUGGCGAAGGAUUCUCCCGUGUCAUUAUAGGCCCCUCCCACUUUUCACAGCCGGCUUUAUUUGCCAUAGCAAUGUGCUUCCAUCUGAUAAGAUUCAUCCUACAGUGUUUUGAAGUCAACACGACAUAUCGUCUGUCCGCUACAGCUGCUCGUGUAGGACGACCACAGAAGCGGCGCCCUCUGAGAACGCAAGGCAUUGUGGGUAAAUUGGUUAUCGUUUGUUGUUUAGCUGUGGACAGUGAUCGUGUUUAUGAAAUAUGAAGCAGUUUGAACUUUGCAUUCUAGAGUUAUAAGCUUUUUCCUAGAACGGCGUCCUGUAAAUGCUAACCGUGUACAUGACCUUAAAUGACACCGGUCGAAAACACAAGGCAUGAUGGGAAAUGUUUCAAAGCAGUCAUGACCAAGCUUGGGCACAUGUCCUUUGUGUGAAAUUUGAAGCUGAUCGAAGUUUGUGUGUCAGA
Molecule: long non-coding RNA, 1606 nt
Filed under: Gouania willdenowi (blunt-snouted clingfish)
Lineage: Eukaryota; Metazoa; Chordata; Actinopteri; Blenniiformes; Gobiesocidae
Description: lncRNA (ENSGWIG00000003025.1)
Source: RNAcentral